UACGAAGGGGGCUAGCGUUGUUCGGAAUCACUGGGCGUAAAGCGCACGUAGGCGGAUCGUUAAGUCAGGGGUGAAAUCCCGAGGCUCAACCUCGGAACUGCCUUUGAUACUGGCGAUCUUCGAGUCCGGGAGAGGUGAGUGGAACUCCGAGUGUAGAGGUGAAAUUCGUAGAUAUUCGGAAGAACACCAGUGGCGAAGGCGGCCCCCUGGCUCGAGUACUGACACUGAGGUGCGAAAGCGU
This 241-nucleotide ribosomal RNA is filed under the name uncultured bacterium. RNAcentral describes it as "partial 16S ribosomal RNA". It matches the Rfam family "Bacterial small subunit ribosomal RNA", at positions 524 to 762 of the family's 1533-position model. The record is from RNAcentral.